This 667-nucleotide long non-coding RNA is filed under the name Equus asinus (donkey). RNAcentral describes it as "lncRNA (ENSEASG00005037602.1)". Lineage: Eukaryota; Metazoa; Chordata; Mammalia; Perissodactyla; Equidae. The record is from RNAcentral.
CGGGGCGGAAGCCCUGCAGCUGGAGACUGGCUUCCGCCUGCCGGUGGGCAGGAGGGGCGGCAGGUGGCGGUGGUGCUGGUGGGGAAGGGUGACCGAUGUGACCUCUCCUGGAAGGUUUUCAGGAUGCACGUGUUGACUUUUGACUUCCAAGUCCCAAAGCUCGCUUCAGUAGUUCCAGGCGGUUAUGACGGUGGCUCGCUGGCCUGAAUGAUCUUAAUCACGAAAGCACUUGUGUACAGCUUUAUAAUUCGACGUCUGUGUGCACUACACAGCGCUCCCCGCCACCGCCUGCUUCCCACCCUCACCGCGCCGCCCACGCGCGGUGGUCAGCUGGCCGGCCGGCGCCGCUGGCUGGUGGCCUCCCCGAGACACGCAGGCACCGAGACUUCCGUGGGGACCGAGGCGUCCGGGUCCUGCCCCUCACUCCUCCCCCUGCUCGUGGCCCCGACGGACCAGGCACACGGAUUCACCUGUGGAAGCCACAGAACAUUUGUGGCCCAAGAAGAUUCAAGCGACAGCAAAAUGAAGACUAAUCAAGUCAGGGGACGCUUCCUUUUCCUACAACCAGACUCCAGUACCCCAGAAUCUGUGUUUGUGAAAACUCCAGAGGAAGACAAACAACACUCCCUCCAGUGCUCCCCUCUUGCCUCGUCCCCCUAAAGUCUUU